CGGCGUGCUUAACACAUGCAAGUCGAACGGAAAGGCCCUGCUUUUGUGGGGUGCUCGAGUGGCGAACGGGUGAGUAACACGUGAGUAACCUGCCCUUGACUUUGGGAUAACUUCAGGAAACUGGGGCUAAUACCGGAUAGGAGCUCCUGCUGCAUGGUGGGGGUUGGAAAGUUUCGGCGGUUGGGGAUGGACUCGCGGCUUAUCAGCUUGUUGGUGGGGUAGUGGCUUACCAAGGCUUUGACGGGUGGCCGGCCUGAGAGGGUGACCGGCCACAUUGGGACUGAGAUACGGCCCAGACUCCUACGGGAGGCAGCAGUGGGGAAUAUUGCACAAUGGGCGGAAGCCUGAUGCAGCAACGCCGCGUGCGGGAUGACGGCCUUCGGGUUGUAAACCGCUUUCGCCUGUGACGAAGCGUGAGUGACGGUAAUGGGUAAAGAAGCACCGGCUAACUACGUGCCAGCAGCCGCGGUGAUACGUAGGGUGCGAGCGUUGUCCGGAUUUAUUGGGCGUAAAGGGCUCGUAGGUGGUUGAUCGCGUCGGAAGUGUAAUCUUGGGGCUUAACCCUGAGCGUGCUUUCGAUACGGGUUGACUUGAGGAAGGUAGGGGAGAAUGGAAUUCCUGGUGGAGCGGUGGAAUGCGCAGAUAUCAGGAGGAACACCAGUGGCGAAGGCGGUUCUCUGGGCCUUUCCUGACGCUGAGGAGCGAAAGCGUGGGGAGCGAACAGGCUUAGAUACCCUGGUAGUCCACGCUGUAAACGGUGGGUACUAGGUGUGGGGUCCAUUCCACGGGUUCCGUGCCGUAGCUAACGCUUUAAGUACCCCGCCUGGGGAGUACGGCCGCAAGGCUAAAACUCAAAGGAAUUGACGGGGCCCCGCACAAGCGGCGGAGCAUGCGGAUUAAUUCGAUGCAACGCGUAGAACCUUACCUGGGUUUGACAUGGAUCGGGAGUGCUCAGAGAUGGGUGUGCCUCUUUUGGGGUCGGUUCACAGGUGGUGCAUGCCUGUCGUCAGCUCGUGUCGUGAGAUGUUGGGUUAAGUCCCGCAACGAGCGCAACCCUUGUUCACUGUUGCCAGCACGUUAUGGUGGGGACUCAGUGGAGACCGCCGGGGUCAACUCGGAGGAAGGUGGGGAUGACGUCAAGUCCUCAUGCCCCUUAUGUCCAGGGCUUCACGCAUGCUACAAUGGCUGGUACAGAGAGUGGCGAGCCUGUGAGGGUGAGCGAAUCUCGGAAAGCCGGUCUCAGUUCGGAUUGGGGUCUGCAACUCGACCUCAUGAAGUCGGAGUCGCUAGUAAUCGCAGAUCAGCAACGCUGCGGUGAAUACGUUCCCGGGGCUUGUACACACCGCCCGUCAAGUCAUGAAAGUUGGUAACACCCGAAGCCGGUGGCCUAACCGUUGUGGGGGAGCCGUCGAAGGUGGGACUGGUGAUUAGGACUAAG
Molecule: ribosomal RNA, 1438 nt
Filed under: uncultured organism
Description: 16S ribosomal RNA
Rfam family: Bacterial small subunit ribosomal RNA
Source: RNAcentral